CGCAUGGUAGGAGAGCGUUCCGUAAGCCUGCGAAGGUGCCUUGUAAAGGGUGCUGGAGGUAUCGGAAGUGCGAAUGCUGACAUGAGUAGCGAUAAAGGGGGUGAAAGGCCCCCUCGCCGUAAGCCCAAGGUUUCCUACGCAACGUUCAUCGGCGUAGGGUGAGUCGGCCCCUAAGGCGAGGCAGAAAUGCGUAGCUGAUGGGAAGCAGGUCAAUAUUCCUGCACCGUCGUUAGAUGCGAUGGGGGGACGGAUCGCGGAAGGUUGUCCGGGUGUUGGAAGUCCCGGUCGCUGCAUUGGAGAAGGCGCUUAGGCAAAUCCGGGCGCAGGAUUCAAGGGUGUGGCGCGAGCGCUCUAGGGCGCGAAGCAAUUGGAAGUGGUUCCAAGAAAAGCCUCUAAGCUUCAGUCUAACGAUGACCGUACCGCAAACCGACACAGGUGGGCGAGAUGAGUAUUCUAAGGCGCUUGAGAGAACUCGGGAGAAGGAACUCGGCAAAUUGGUACCGUAACUUCGGGAUAAGGUACGCCCUUGUAGCUUGACCAGCCUGCGCUGGAAGGGUGAAGGGGUUGCAAUAAACUGGUGGCUGCGACUGUUUAAUAAAAACACAGCACUCUGCAAACACGAAAGUGGACGUAUAGGGUGUGACGCCUGCCCGGUGCCGGAAGAUUAAAUGAUGGGGUGCAAGCUCUUGAUUGAAGUCCCGGUAAACGGCGGCCGUAACUAUAACGGUCCUAAGGUAGCGAAAUUCCUUGUCGGGUAAGUUCCGACCUGCACGAAUGGCGUAACGAUGGCCACACUGUCUCCUCCCGAGACUCAGCGAAGUUGAAGUGUUUGUGAUGAUGCAAUCUACCCGCGGCUAGACGGAAAGACCCCAUGAACCUUUACUGUAGCUUUGCAUUGGACUUUGAACCGAUCUGUGUAGGAUAGGUGGGAGGCUAUGAAACCGGAACGCUAGUUUCGGUGGAGCCGUCCUUGAAAUACCACCCUGGUUUGUUUGAGGUUCUAACCUUGGCCCGUGAUCCGGGUCGGGGACAGUGCAUGGUAGGCAGUUUGACUGGGGCGGUCUCCUCCCAAAGCGUAACGGAGGAGUACGAAGGUACGCUAGGUACGGUCGGAAAUCGUGCUGAUAGUGCAAUGGCAUAAGCGUGCUUAACUGCGAGACCGACAAGUCGAGCAGGUGCGAAAGCAGGUCAUAGUGAUCCGGUGGUUCUGUAUGGAAGGGCCAUCGCUCAACGGAUAAAAGGUACUCUGGGGAUAACAGGCUGAUACCGCCCAAGAGUUCAUAUCGACGGCGGUGUUUGGCACCUCGAUGUCGGCUCAUCUCAUCCUGGGGCUGUAGCCGGUCCCAAGGGUAUGGCUGUUCGCCAUUUAAAGAGGUACGUGAGCUGGGUUUAAAACGUCGUGAGACAGUUUGGUCCCUAUCUGCCGUGGGCGUUGGAUAUUUGAAGGGGGCUGCUCCUAGUACGAGAGGACCGGAGUGGACGAACCUCUGGUGUACCGGUUGUGACGCCAGUCGCAUCGCCGGGUAGCUAUGUUCGGAAGAGAUAACCGCUGAAAGCAUCUAAGCGGGAAACUCGCCUUAAGAUGAGAUAUCCCUGGGGACUUGAUCCCCUUGAAGGGUCGUUCGAGACCAGGACGUUGAUAGGUCAGGUGUGUAAGCGCAGUAAUGCGUUCAGCUAACUGAUACUAAUUGCCCGUAAGGCUUGAUCCUAUAACA
Molecule: ribosomal RNA, 1715 nt
Filed under: Burkholderia ubonensis
Lineage: Bacteria; Pseudomonadati; Pseudomonadota; Betaproteobacteria; Burkholderiales; Burkholderiaceae
Description: bacterial LSU rRNA
Rfam family: Bacterial large subunit ribosomal RNA
Source: RNAcentral